Molecule: ribosomal RNA, 497 nt
Filed under: uncultured bacterium
Lineage: Bacteria
Description: partial 16S ribosomal RNA
Rfam family: Bacterial small subunit ribosomal RNA
Source: RNAcentral
GAUGAACGCUGGCGGCGUGCCUAAUACAUGCAAGUCGAGCGAACGGACGAGAAGCUUGCUUUUCUGAUGUUAGCGGCGGACGGGUGAGUAACACGUGGAUAACCUACCUAUAAGUCUGGGAUAACUUCGGGAAACCGGAGCUAAUACCGGAUAAUAUUUUGAACCGCAUGGUUCAAAAGUGAAAGACGGUCUUGCUGUCACUUAUAGAUGGAUCCGCGCUGCAUUAGCUAGUUGGUAAGGUAACGGCUUACCAAGGCAACGAUGCAUAGCCGACCUGAGAGGGUGAUCGGCCACACUAGAACUGAGACACGGUCCAGACUCCUACGGGAGGCAGCAGUAGGGAAUCUUACGCAAUGGGCGAAAGCCUGACGGAGCAACGCCGCGUGAGUGAUGAAGGUCUUCGGAGCGUAAAACUCUGUUAUUAGGGAAGAACAUAUGUGUAAGUAACUGUGCACAGCGUGACGGUACCUAAUCAGAAAGCAACGGCUAACUACGUG